UUGCAUGAAGAGGUUUCGUGAGGUUAUUUACUUAUAGCACACAUACAAUUCAUGCCGAAGUACUGCAUAUAUAUAGGUAGGUUUGAUCUCUCAAGUUUCAUCAAUCAAUAAAUUUACGAUACUAGUCUACUUAUUUAUCAAGAUCUAAGAUCAGUCAUGGAUUUUUCUACUAAGUUUGUUGUGUUCUUUCUCAUUAUUCCCAUCCUCUUUGGUAUGGAUGCCUACUUGUGAGAUUUGUCAUAAAUUAUUUGUCACAUGUACCUUUUUUUUGUUGUUGUUUUAAUUAGCUAAUUAAUCAAAUAUACUUUUCUCUUUUUCCUAUAAAUAAAUUAUUUUUUAUCAUGUGCGAAGUUAAAUUGCUUAUACUUUUCUCUUCAAUCAGGUUGGGAAAACAUAGAAGGCAAUAAACUUAAUGUUGGAGAAUUUGACAGAAAACUGAAAGCUACGAAAGAGGAGAAAAUACAACUAGACUUUUGCAAGCAUGUUGCUCGCUGUAAAACUGGGAGACCUUGCUAUUGCUGUUUAAUCUUGGGCAGAACUGAUUGCUAUUAUACAAUGCAACUUUGUGAGCAAGGAUGUCCCAAAUUUCCCCCUCCAACUCCAAAACAUCAGAUCGAAAUUUCCCCAUGAUGUCAUGGCAUGUAUACAGGGGUCGAUCACGUGACUCAUCAUUUAGUACGGAUUUGCGUUUUGCCUAGUAUCUAAAAUAGUUAAUAAAUUUUAAUAAUUCAAAAAUAAAAAAAUAACAUGAUGAUACCUAACCGUGUGUAUUUUCCUUAGAAAUAAUAUCUCUUCAAAUGAGCAAGGAUGUCCCAAAUUUCCCCAUGAUGCCAUGGCAUGUAUACAGGGUCGAUAACGUAUAGCAAAAUAAUAUUUUGUUAAACAUAUGUAGGAGAAAGUUUUAAAAUAAAAGGAAAAAUUCAGAUCCUUGUACGUGAGCUUCUGUAUCAGUAGCAAAGCUAUCUUUUUAUCAUUGAUAC
This 980-nucleotide long non-coding RNA is filed under the name Nicotiana benthamiana. RNAcentral's name for it is "long non-coding RNA (NBEN_LNC041291)". The record is from RNAcentral. Lineage: Eukaryota; Viridiplantae; Streptophyta; Magnoliopsida; Solanales; Solanaceae.